This is a non-coding RNA of Lolium perenne, 2018 nucleotides long. Lineage: Eukaryota; Viridiplantae; Streptophyta; Magnoliopsida; Poales; Poaceae. The record is from RefSeq and is a predicted model, not a curated record.
ACCACGCGACAUGGUGGUGCUCGAGCCCGAGACUCCCGCAGCUACCACUGCUAAUCGCGCAUCCAGCAGCGCGCCGUGUGGCGUCAUCCUUGGGCGAACGCUAGCACUCGAGCAGUUCGCAUGCCGACGAAGAGGCCGCCUGGAGCGAGCCCACUGAGGGCUCUGGUGGAGGUCGACGGAUUUGUCUGCUUGCUCGCUCACCUCUACCAAUUCGAUCCCCAUUCAAUCCUCAAUUCAUGUCGCUGCCGAUGGUCGCCGCCAGAAGUUAUUCUUUGCCGCUAAUCUUAUCCUCGCGGACCUCCUUUGCCCCAGGCUCCCAUCCUAACCACGGACUGGUUGGAUUUAAUUUGGGUUCCUAUCAAUGUCUUCAUCGUUCCUAGCAUGAGCAAAUGGGAGAGGGAGCAGUUCAUGUGCGGCGCUACUGUGAGAGGAGAAGAAAAAACUUUUAUGGGACAAUUGCAAUCUGUGCAGAGAAGUGCACCAUUAACCAUCAGCUUUAACCUACACUGUUCUAGAAGAACGGUGGCUGCUGUUGAGGAGGCAACGCAGAGGAGGCAACACAUUCUGCUGAUCCCUAGUCCCCAGCCCCACGCGCCCAAACCUCUCGGGAUCGGCAGGGAUAGAGGCAACAACCAAAACGCCACAACCUCGAUCUUCGCGAUGGCGGCAGCGAUGACCAACGAUCCAUCUUGGCACAGCCAUUGUCGACUCACCUCGGCUUAUCAAGGUUUGGCACUUUGUCCGGCAACCCGCGACACAAUUUUGGCAUGACGGCGGCUCCAAUUAUGGCAAAGAAUUGACGCAUAAACCCAAACCCUCCCUCCCCUGUGGCGAAUCAUCUCAGCAUCGUCCUUCGAUGCAAACGCAUCAUGACACAUCGUGAGCUAGGGUUUUGGGGACCCGCGGACCAGAGCAAAUGUGGAUUCGGAGGGAGACGUGGGUGGCCAGAUGGAAGCACGACAGUAAGGCUGCGAUGGUUUGAUCCGACAAGUCAGAUAGAAAUUAUACGGAAACAAUGUUGUUGUGAUUAUCUCUAGCCUAGAUUGCAUUAACCCUAAUAGUAGAAUUUAUUUAGACAACUAUACAAGUGGAAAAAUAACAAGACAUAUUAUCACCGACCAUGCUAUGUUAGAGCUUCCUAGAGCGUUCGAAUAUGUUUCUCCCGGUGCAACGCACGGGCACAUUUGCUAGUAAAUGGUAAAUUGCAGAAAAGUAAGAUAAAUUUAGGGUUUAUAUUUCUUGAUUGAUUGCAAGGGGAUACAAGGGCAGGCUUAUAUAGACCUAACCAACUACAACAUGACAACAUAGGUGGAAUACCGAUAGUACCCUUACAUCUAAUAACCCACUACUCCAUAGCACUACUAGUCCCUGACAACAACCCAUAAUGAGAAUAUAAAGGGAGUGGAGAGGUAAACCACUGUACAGUUCCACAAACUGCAAAGGAUAUCCAACCUAAUGAAGAGAGUAAGGUGGUCCCAUGGCAACCCCAUCAACAGGCAGCAAAAACUCACAGGCAACACCUGCCAAGGACAUCUUAGAGGCUGCCGAUUCAGACUUUGGAGAGAACAUAGGCUCUACAACAGAGAGCAAAAAAGGAAAAAAACACAAAUCAACUAUGACGUCCGCGAGAAAAGUGCAACCAAUGAAAAGAGAGAGGUAACACGGAAAUGUUCCCACCUAUAAACAGAAGUUUCACCUGACCCUCUAAGCACUAGAGUCAGGACAAAGAGUACCUUUUGUGCACUCCAGCCGUUGUGGUUUAGAAAUUGAAGAUGCAGAGGGAGUUCAACUGGCGAAUCAGCCAUCAAGCUACCGAUUUAUAUCAACUUAUCGUCAAAAUAUAAUGUGUAAUAUAAUUGGCCUAUGUGUCAUUUCUGGAGCAACUACUUCUGUUGUAUCAUCUACUGUGGUACAAAUCUGUUUUACUUUAAAAUGUGUCAUUGAUAUCAUCUACUACUACUUUUGUAAGUAGUUGCAGUUAACUGCAAUCUUUUGAAAGUAAAGAAGGACAAAAUGCA